Molecule: small RNA, 103 nt
Filed under: Marmota monax (woodchuck)
Lineage: Eukaryota; Metazoa; Chordata; Mammalia; Rodentia; Sciuridae
Source: RNAcentral
GCCAGGCAUGGUGGCACAUGCCUGUAAUCCUAGCUACUUGGAGGCUUAGACAGGAGAUCAAGUUGAAAGCCAAUCUCAGCAACAUAGCAAGAUCCUUCCUCAA